Molecule: long non-coding RNA, 367 nt
Filed under: Heterocephalus glaber (naked mole-rat)
Lineage: Eukaryota; Metazoa; Chordata; Mammalia; Rodentia; Bathyergidae
Description: lncRNA (ENSHGLG00100046817.1)
Source: RNAcentral
CCUAGGAUAUGUAAAAUGUGCCUUCAUUGAUUUUAUCAGUUAUUUGAUACGUAUCAAAGUAGGUGCUAGUGAGUAAUGCUCAUUAAAAACUGUUUCCUGACUCAGAACUUUCUGUUUAGACUCAAGAGAGCAAUGAAGACACUGACAAAGCAAUGAAGAGAAUCAAUGGCAAAAUUCUAAGAGAGAUGGGCACCACAAGGAAUGAGAAUUUGUUACUGUUAGAACCUUUGAUAGUGAAAUUGAUACGAGAGCAACUCACGGGUGGUAGAUCUAAGACCUCCAGACCUGAUCCCACUUCCUUCCCUUCUUGUAUCCAACUCCUGUUUGCUUUGCCUCAGGUGGUGAAGGAAAGAAACCCAAAUGUGUG